UUAUUUUGUUCCAAUCAAAUCAAGUCACGUACGCGGGAGCACGGAUGGGAGCACACGCACGGAGCAGGCAAGUCUCGUCCAACAGAUUCCACCCCUCCACCGAUCUUGCCCCAGCGAGGCAUCGACGUGCCGUGGAGGGAUCCCUAGCGCCGCUCCUCCUCCUCUCCAGUUUCCAUACUGGGAUUCCUUCUAAUAAAGAUCCAAGCAGUAUCUCCUUGAUGCCCUUCCUCUCCAGCCCUUGAAUCGCCUCUGCCCCAAAGGUACGCUAUGAUAUCCAAGUGAUUGGAAAUCUGAAUCAAUCCUUCCUCUCUGGUUCUCCCUAAUAUCUUUGUUUGUAACCUUUGAAUCUCCUUAGCUUUCAUGUCCUGAGUACGCUGCAAUCAUGCAUCUAUUUUUGAUCUUACAAGAAUAUAUCCCGUGAUGAAUAUUGUUUGAUGGGAGAGCCAUACCGAUGGUAGUUUGAAUUAAUUUAGUUGGCCACCGCCAUGGACGAUACUGGGCAUUCCACAUGCCCUCGACGCAAGAUGCCCACCAGAAUGAACCCCAUGCUACAAUUAUAUUGCUUGAGGGUGGAAAAGCCUGAAAAGUUUAGGGAAGAUUCAAGGUACAGGUAGAUGUAUGUUGCCUAUGUAUAAUCCUAUAGUUUAUUUUAUUUGCAAAUUGUGCAUAGUAAUAAAUUUCUACAAGAAGAUGCAAAAUAAUUGAUCACAUAUAGCCUGCGUGCGAACAUACAUGUCCUAGAUCUGUUUAUAAUAAUUUCGUAUUACUGAGAUUUUAUCAUGCUAUUAAGUAGUACCCUAGCAGGAAACAUACUGUUGCUGCAAUUUUUCUUUUGGCAUGCAAGGGCUGAAGUCUGUUGAAUUCAGGUACUGUUGCUGCCAUUUUUCUUCAUCUAAUUUUCUCUACUAUUUUUCGAAAUGAUUCAAUGGAAUUUCAUUAUGUGGUUGCAACCGUGAUAGUAAACUGUCAUAAAAGUUGGGAAAGAAAUGACAUCACUGCUCACAUAACUCAGACUAAAUUAGCUUCUCAUGUUAUUUAAUAGAGUGAUUUUUAUCACAGUGAACACCACCAGCACUGCUUGGCCACUUCACCACCUGCCUCUAGCCGUUCAGUAACCUACAGGUCAUGCUUUGCAAAUUAUCAGCCUUCGUCGGCUGGUUAUUUGUUGUUUAUUUUGCUCACCAUUAUUUCCGUGUUAUUAAUUGGAGAAAGUAUGAUGUAUCGCUUAUCCAUACUGUUGGUGUAGCCCAGACAACGGUCUGUGAUGCAGGAUCCUUGGUUUUCGAGUGAUUGAUCUCCAUGUAAUUCAAAUUUAUGGUGGCAUAAUACGCAUUGAUAUUCACACAUUUCCUCAACUAAGUUUAUGAUUGUUUUCAGUCCCUACAAUAAUUUAUAGUGCAGGCCGCAGAUAUGGUUAGUGCAAUUCCAACUCCAUAGAGAACUUACUGUAAAUGACCGAUUCCGUGGCUUCCUUUUGUUACCUUUGCGAACUCAAUCCAGAGGUUUUGCUUUUUCUUCAGUCAUCCAUACCUCAAACCUGAUAGUGCUUACUAAUUUCGCAAAUAUCUGGUGCAUGUACAUCCCUUCACAUGAGACCUAUAAAUUACUUUCUUUUAGGAAAUACUCUAAUUGCAGAGAUUUAUUCUUUGUUAAUGGCUCGACUAAUUUGGAUUACUCUUAUAUUUAUUUUUUCUAUCGUGAAUUUUUCGCAGGUACGAGUAAAUAUUGGUUCUUUGACAUUGAUCCUUAAAUUUAAUAGUACUAAUUCAGAAGAUGGGUGCAUAACGAUAUCAUCGGAUUAAACAAGGUAUAUUGGUCUAUCAAAUAUACUACUGGUACAUAUCAAAAUGGUCUAUCAAAAUGUUUCUUCAGUCUAAUUCAGAGUGAUAAUCUCUGUGGUACGAGCCUACAAUUAUAUUUUGUUCUGCAGAUUGAGCGAAAGUUAGUGUCAUUUUACCAAAUUGAGUUUUCUAACAAAUUCCUUCUCUCACAAAUGGAAUUCAAGAAAACUAAUAAUUCUUUCCAUGUGUCCAAGUAAGUAACAUAAGCCUACAUACAUUGCAUCAGGAAAUUUCCUGAAUAUCUACUGAUAAAUAUUUUGACUGUAUUUCAUAGUAAUUAGAUACUUUAUGUGUUGUAUGCUAAGUUAGUAGACGAGACAUGGUACCUCAUCAUCAAUGAAUGCUAUUAUUCACCUAGGGAAACGUUCUUCAUCAAUGGCUAUCACAAUUGCUGGCAAUUUUCUUUAAUAUUUCCUUGUAAUUACUUAAAUAAAACCAUUUGACUUGAGUAAUCGAGGAAUGUCGUAAACAACUUGAAAAGUGUAGUACCAGUUACAAACAGAAUUUAUGAUAUUGGAUUGAUGACAGACCAUGCAUCAACGGGAUCCGGAAAGAUAUUUCUUACUGUAGUUAUCAUGACAGUAAUUUCUUCAGCUACCGUUUCUGUGAAAAACCAAGCAAGAGUUUUGCACCAUUGAUUUUAUAUGCAGAAAAGAAAUAACAAACUUGAUAAAAUUACUGUACUGUGAAGGACUACUCUUAUAUUCAGUUAGGUGAUCGUGGACUUCUCCAACACAUGUCAUAGGAAAUAUGCAGCUACUUAUGCAAGUUUGCUUUAUGAAGUUGAAAAUGCAGCAAUUCAGGAAUCACCUGAAUCAAUUCAGACCAUUGCCGCAGAUGUCCUUGAACUGCCUCUCCUUCCACCUGAAGAUGUUGCCACUCCUUCAAAGCACAAACUUUCAGACCAGAGCAUGCAGCAAUCCAACAGAAGAUUUCGCCACUCCUUAAACUGCCACCACACACACCGAAUCGUCGGCCUUGAGCGAAGCCUGCUUGUUCCUCACAUCAAACGCCUGUAGAAAUCCAAGAAGAUGAAGAAAUUGGGUGGACAUGGCCCGACCAAUCUAAGAAGAUAAAGAAGAAAUUGCAAUGGGCGCAGUAGAUCGAAGGGAGGAGAAGUGGAAAAAGGAGACCUUUGACUCCGGCGGGCUCCUGGAUCAUAAACUACUUUUUCAUUCGGGUAUGGACGUGGGUGGUAUCAUUUUCACAGGAGCAGCGUCUGGACAUGCAUCAAUAGGUGCUAAACUCACAUGCUACUACAAUGGACGGCUCUACAACAUUUUAUUUUAGAUGUACAACAAUAGAAGGGAAAUGUGCAUGCAGACGAUCAUGUGUUUGACGAUCAUACUUCUAAGUCCUUACUAUAACAACAAGAAGUUAAUCAGCAUGAUGUACUUAUGUUGUUGUGAUCAAACAUGUUGUCAUGCUUUAAAUGCCAUGGUAAUUUUCAUUGCAACGUCCACUUUACUCUA
Molecule: long non-coding RNA, 3313 nt
Organism: Triticum aestivum (bread wheat)
Lineage: Eukaryota; Viridiplantae; Streptophyta; Magnoliopsida; Poales; Poaceae
Exons: 3
Source: RefSeq, a predicted model, not a curated record